CUAAAAUUACACCCGUGCUUCCCCUCCUUCAUCAGCUGAUUCAUCUCAGUCUUCAAGAACAGAAGCAGGAGCACAUCUGUAUGUGACACAAUAAAAUGCAGAAAUUGAGACUACUGGUAGAAGGUGAUUUUGGGGUAAUUACUGUUUGCCUUUAGCCCACUCCGUGGAGAUGAAUGAGUUUGUUACUAACCAAACGUUCCUCAGGAUUAUGUGUAGGCCUGCAUUCCUUGCACGGCUCGUGAGAUGAGUUUUGGAUGACACAAAGGGUUACUGGGACGAGAAAGCAUCUUAACAGGAAGCCUGCUGCAGCGUGCCACGGCUCUCAAACAAAAGAGACAACUUCCUUUUCAGCAGGGGAAGAAAUUCAUUCAGGACUUCUGAAAUUUUCAGCGUGGGCAACUAGGGCUUAACUCACACGGUGAAGAUGAAGAGUGCACCAGGAGCCGACAGCACGAGAUGUCUUAGAUAAAGUUCUGUGACCAGGGCUGGCAACACACCAACCUAAUUCAGCUAAGAGACAUACCCAAUAAGAACUGUCUGCUGUGCCUGGGGAAGAAGAAAUAACAAGCUAAUUUAUCAAUGAGUUUAGGUGAGCGUCAAGAUCCAGUGCCACCAUGCCCGCUGCAGCCUGAAUCUUCCUGCUCCUGCCUCCAAGUGCCUUCUCAGUCCUGGGUCGUAUGUUACAACAUUUCAUUAAGUUAAUUGUAACUUAAUACAUCUUGCAGUGAGCAGGCUCCCAGCACACAAAAACAUAAUUGACUUGCAUGGACUCACUGCUAUGAUGAACCCUGAAUAAAGGGCAUGAAGUUCCUUCCUCUGAUCAGUCUCACCAAGCUUUUCUCAUCAUUUAACUAGGUCUCCUGCUACCACAGCUUGCAAGACUUGCAAGUCUUGCAAGUGCUGACCUUUCUCCAGGGAGCAGUCCAACCUUGGAAGUCACCACAUUUGGGGUUGCUCAUCCACACUCUGCAAUGCACCCCUUGCUCCCCAGUCUGCACUGAGAGCUGCUUGCCCUUCUCCCUGUUAGUCCUUUUCUUCUGGAAACAUAUCUUCAGGAAGCAGUGGUCUUUAUUGGGACUUCAGUGCAAGAAUGGGGGGGUCUGGGGCACUUCUGCAAGCUACAGUAAGGCAAACUUUCCCUUCCUGUUGUCUGCUCCCUGCAUGCCCACCAUCCCAAGUUAAGCACUGAUGCCAUCAGCAAUCAGAGCAGCGUCAAGAGCUGCAGCCUCACAUCCCAACAGAAAACCCUUUUGGAGUAGGACUUUAUUCAACCCUCACUAUGUUAUCUCUCUUUUGGUUUUGUUUUGCUUCUGUUAAGUCUUUGUGAUAGCAGGAACCCAGGUUCUUCUUUUAGGACAUUUCCUUCAUCCUCUUCCCCAUCUUUUUAAAAGUUUUUUUCUUGAGUCUCCAUUACAUCUACAGUUUUUAACUGUAAGAACCUUUCUCCACAUGAAGAGCUGUGAGUACUGAUUCCUGGUUCCUAAUACCACGUUGCCUACAUGGGGAGACACUGGUGCCUGCAGAGGCAGAGCUCACUGCACAGCUGGGCUUUGUGAUGGGUCCCAUGACGACCUACAGCAUGUGAUACCAAGGAUCUGUCUUCUCAGCAGUUUUCUUGGCUUUAUUCCAAAUCCUGGCUCAAGUUUGUGCUUCUCCAUGGACAACCAGCAAUCACUGCAUUAAGUUAUCGUCUUGUACCAUCUCUGGUUUCCAGCCUUUAAAAAAA
Molecule: long non-coding RNA, 1726 nt
Organism: Gallus gallus (chicken)
Lineage: Eukaryota; Metazoa; Chordata; Aves; Galliformes; Phasianidae
Source: Ensembl